CUGUAAAUAUGGUCUGAGAUUCAUAUUGAACAUAUGUGCGUUCUCCUGUCGUACUGGCAUUACUGAUCGUGAGGUGAUAGAGAGAGAAGACGCUAUACUUUUGGACCUGUAUACCUGGUUUACCAUCACCUUGUGCCCCUUUGGGAGUACAAUUUCAAGUGGACUUCAUUUAUUUAUUUCAAGAAGUUCAGGUGGUGGAGAUAUGGCCAAAAUCAAGAUGAGAUGGAGAGCUACAUUGCUAUGUCUAACAGAAUUCCAGAAUUCCACGACUACUACUACUGCAACCACCACAACAGCAGCUACACAAACUACAGUGGCUGCACCUACCUAUAGCAGCACUAUGGGAAUCAUUACAGUUUGACAACACAAUUUCAAGACCUCCACAGAAUGCAUUCUGCUUGGGCAGCCUAUAACACACCCCCAACAAAAUCGGCUUGGUUUUGGGAAGGCAGAUAUUCAGCCAGACAAUCUCCAGAUCAGUG
RNAcentral lists this long non-coding RNA (482 nucleotides) under Salmo salar (Atlantic salmon). Its description in RNAcentral is "lncRNA (ENSSSAG00000107060.1)". The record is from RNAcentral. Lineage: Eukaryota; Metazoa; Chordata; Actinopteri; Salmoniformes; Salmonidae.